UGUCACCAAGCUUUAUUUCUAGACUUUUUAAGUUAUGAUUUAUUUAACAUUAUGCCAAGCACUGUUCCAACAUACUUUGAUCCAAUUUAUCCUCCCAAGAAGUCUAUGAGGCAAGUACUUUAAUAAUCUCUUUCAACAGAUGAGCAAACUGAAGCACUCAGGGCUUUAAGUAACAUGCCCAAGUCACACAGCCCUGAAUUGCUUUUGCAAUUUCCAAUAAAGAGUGGCAGAAUGAAUGACCAAUCUUCCAACCCAGAAAGCUCUUCACAUAUUUUAGGUGCAGAUUCAUAAAAAAUUGAAAAGCAUUAUUUAUAUCUAUUUAAUUGUAAACUGAACCUAAUAGACAUAUAUACCAACAAUAUUCAACACAAUGAUCAGUCUUGGGACAACACUUCGCCUUUCCAUAUUUAUCUCUACUGAAAGAGCUCAAAUCUCUUUGCAAUUAUCAAUUAAUUACACGUCCAUACUCCUCAGAGGCUAGGCAUUACAUUUAUGGUCUGUUUUAUGGUUACUUUAUAGCUGUUAGCAGUACUGAAAAUAAGAAUAAUUUCACGCACCAUACAAUGUGUCACGUAGCCACCAGAGUCAGACAUGGUCAUUGUUCAAAGGUUUAAAAUAAAAGCUAAAUUUCUAAGAAAUCAUCUAGUAUUUCUUUGCCAAUGACAAUACCUCUAAUUUAUAAAGCAUUUUAUGGUUUAGAAGUUUUUCAUGUGUAGCCACUAUAGCACAUGGAACCUGGAACGUCAGAUUUCUAAACUCGAAAUCUGGUUUUGGGUCUCAUUCUAUUCUACGUGUACUUUUUAACUGCUUACUUUUAUUUGGAGUAAGUCAUGGAUUCAUGUGGUUGAAAUUCAAACGUUACAAAGACUUUCAGAAGAAAAAAAGUUCCCAACUCGGUCCCCCUAGCAACCUACCUCCUUCCUUGGAGGCAAAACAAUGUUGUAACGUCUUGAUAUCCCUCCAGGGAUCUUUUAUGUAAGUUACCAGUAAACAGCAUAUACCGCAUACCAUUUCAUACAAAAGUUAGCAUUCUACACCUGUGGAAAGUGUAGCUGGUUUCCUCUCCUGUGAAAGGGCAGUGGGGAGGAUGGCCAAACACGAAACUGCCUCCUCCGAAUGCCUGCCACGCAGUCAGCACUACGGGCAGCUUCCCUUUUCUUACUCGCGAGGAGGCUUGGAGGGAAGGAGUCUUCAAGGGGCCCGAAUACCAGGAAGAAGAGGUUUAAAGAGGUCAAGAAACUUGGCUGUGUCCACACACUGAAUUUGAACCCAGCAUCAUCUUGCUUGAUCCAACCAGGUCUUUUCUUACUUCUAUUUCAUACCAGAAGGCCUGCCACAGAGGGUUCCUGCAAGGUCAAAGGGAGACAGCCCAUGCGAACGCGCUGUGCAUACCAGGUCCUUAAAGAUGUUUUUUGAAUGACUGAACAAAUGGUCCCUUGACAAAAGGAGCGAGAUUUCAAAUAUGCUGCCAGGGGGAGAGAGCCACCUUUUUCUUUUCCCAUCCACUUCAGGAAAAUUUAGGUUUAAGUUAUUCCUGUGGUCGGCCUAGAGUUGCUUGCUACCAGAUUGAAAUAGGAAGACAUCAUGGAAA
This is a long non-coding RNA of Manis javanica (Malayan pangolin), 1591 nucleotides long. RefSeq lists it as uncharacterized. Lineage: Eukaryota; Metazoa; Chordata; Mammalia; Pholidota; Manidae. The record is from RefSeq and is a predicted model, not a curated record.